GUCUUAAACGAAACUAGAAAUGUACUAACUUAAAACCAUAAACUAGUGAAUAGCAAAAAAGAAAUGGCCAACUCAAUCACUUUCCGACAUAUCAACUCAAUCACUAGUGAAGGUUGGAAAGAGAGAGAUAUAGAGUACCAAUGCUGAAGUGAUUGACUUAAGCAAAAAAACAAGAAAAAACACUUAAGACCAAAAGUACUCUUUAUGACAAAAACUCACGUGUGUUAAAAAAUUUAAAAAAAAUUCUGGAAGAAACAGUGGUAAUCG
RNAcentral lists this long non-coding RNA (267 nucleotides) under Lathyrus oleraceus (garden pea). RNAcentral describes it as "Pisum sativum (pea) long non-coding RNA (PSAT_LNC036749)". Lineage: Eukaryota; Viridiplantae; Streptophyta; Magnoliopsida; Fabales; Fabaceae. The record is from RNAcentral.